Long non-coding RNA from Octopus sinensis (East Asian common octopus), 143 nucleotides. RefSeq lists it as uncharacterized. NCBI's taxonomy places the organism in Eukaryota, Metazoa, Mollusca, Cephalopoda, Octopoda, Octopodidae. The transcript is spliced from 3 exons. The record is from RefSeq and is a predicted model, not a curated record.
ACAGAUUUGCUUCAGAUGUACGUAUUGGUAUUUAUUGCAAGAAACAGCUGGGUUUCUUUCCCUGACAUUUUACACAAGUUAAUGCGUGAAAAAUAAGAUAGGAAUUUUGAAAGCAGUUUCUAUAAAACUAGUUUUUAACCCUU